AUGGAGGUGCUGGAGCUGCGAACCUUCCGGGACCUUCAGUACGUGCGGAACACGGAGGCGCCGCUGCGGGGCCUGGAGGCGCGGCUGCAGCGCGAGGGGCAGCGGGCCCUGAGCGCCCGCGGCUUCCAGGUGACAAAUUCCCCUUUUUUCACCCCAAAAAUUCCAAUUUUACAGCCCAAAAAAUUCCCAAUUUUCGUCCCAAAAAAAUCACAAUUAUCCAGCGCAAAAAUUCUCAAAUUUUGUCCCAAAAAUUCCCAAUUUUCGGCCCAAAAAUCCAAUUUUUUAUCCCAAAAAUUCGCAAUUUUCGUCCCAAAAAAUCCAAAUUUUCAGCCCAAAAAUUCCAAUUUUCAUCCCAAAAAUUCUCAAUUUUCACCCCAAAAUUUCCCAAUUUUUAGCCCAAAAAUUCCCAGUUCCCAGCCCAAACUUCUCAAUUUUCACCCCAAAAAUCCCCAGUUUUCAGCCCAAAAAUCCCAAUUUUUUUGUCCCAAAAAUCCCAAUUUUAAUCCCAAAAAUCCCCAUUUUCCAGCCCAAAAUUUCCCAAUUUCCAGCCCAAAAUUUCCCAAUUUCCAGCCCAAAAUUUCUCACUUUUCAGCCCCAAAAUCUCAAAUUUCAGCCCAAAAAUCCCCAGUUCCCAGCCCUUUUCCCCCAGAUUUAUUCCACAUUUUGCCCUGGUUUAUUCCAUAUUUUCCCCUAAUUUAUUCCGUAUUUCCCCCUCAUUUAUUCCACAUUUCCCCUCAUUUAUUCCAUAUUUUCCCCUCAUUUAUUCCAUAUUUCCCCUCAUUUAUUCCACAUUUUCCCCCAUUUAUUCCAUAUUUUCCCCCCAUUUAUUCCACAUUUUCCCCUGGUUUAUUCCACAUUUUCCCCUCCCGUGUUCCCCCCGCGGCUGCAGCGCGAGGGGCAGCGCGCCCUGAGCGCCCGCGGCUUCCAGGUGACAAAUUCCCCUUUUUUCACCCCAAAAAUUCCACAUUUUCACCCCAAAAAUUCCCAAUUUUACACCCCAAAAAAUCCAGAUUUUCAUCCUGA
RNAcentral lists this long non-coding RNA (1023 nucleotides) under Chloebia gouldiae (Gouldian finch). RNAcentral's name for it is "Erythrura gouldiae (Gouldian finch) lncRNA (ENSEGOG00005010236.1)". The record is from RNAcentral. Lineage: Eukaryota; Metazoa; Chordata; Aves; Passeriformes; Passeridae.